GAUGAACGCUGGCGGCGUGCCUAAUACAUGCGAGUCGAGCGAACAGACGAGGAGCUUGCUCCUCUGACGUUAGCGGCGGACGGGUGAGUAACACGUGGAUAACCUACCUAUAAGACUGGGAUAACUUCGGGAAACCGGAGCUAAUACCGGAUAAUAUAUUGAACCGCAUGGUUCAAUAGUGAAAGACGGUUUUGCUGUCACUUAUAGAUGGAUCCGCGCCGCAUUAGCUAGUUGGUAAGGUAACGGCUUACCAAGGCAACGAUGCGUAGCCGACCUGAGAGGGUGAUCGGCCACACUGGAACUGAGACACGGUCCAGACUCCUACGAGAGGCAGCAGUAGGGAAUCUUCCGCAAUGGGCGAAAGCCUGACGGAGCAACGCCGCGUGAGUGAUGAAGGUCUUCGGAUCGUAAAACUCUGUUAUUAGGGAAGAACAAAUGUGUAAGUAACUAUGCACGUCUUGACGGUACCUAAUCAGAAAGCCACGGCUAACUACGUG
Molecule: ribosomal RNA, 497 nt
Filed under: uncultured bacterium
Lineage: Bacteria
Description: partial 16S ribosomal RNA
Rfam family: Bacterial small subunit ribosomal RNA
Source: RNAcentral